GGAAAACCCACUCGAACCGGAACGUAAGCCAAACUGAUGAUAACAUGAACCAAAGUAACUGAACCGAACAAAGGAAAUCACCGAGUCGAAGUUACCUUCUUGGUUUGAUGAACUCGGAUCAAAUUAUCGAGUUGACUCGAAAAAGAAAAAUACACAGAAGAUGAGAAGAACGAACGGAAGGACACUAACUACAGCAGAAAUAUCAGGAGACGAGCAGUCACACAUAGAAGCAUCCGAUUACUAGGAGGCUCCUUGUGGCUUGAUAGUUAAAAGGGGAAAGCAAGCGAUUCGUGAUGAAACCUAUAAAAAAAAAAGAAGAAGAAAGAAAUUGAAACUCGCGUGGCAAAGAAGGAUCAAGGAAGGGAAGGAACUGGGGAAAAUCCAGUUAGGGUUAUCCAAUGCGAAAGUUGGCCGAUCCUCGUACAUUGGCCGCUACAUUCUCGAUAAAGUAGAAAUUCGUAUUGACAUCUAUGAGAAAAAAGAAAGGGGGGGAUAAAUCAUAUAUCAGUAUAGUAGAGGCAUCACGAAAUAGCGGGUCGACAAGAGAAAACUUACCGCUUCACCAUGUCUCUCGUUUGAAACCAGAGUCUUUAUCUGCUCGCUUUGUUUCAGGCGGGGGCAAUCUCUAAGAUCGAGGUGUUUGAUCGUAUGGUUUGGGGAAAGGGUGACGUUCUCCAGAUAAUCACAGCCGUGUGCAUAGAGAUGGUUGAGACUCAGGGGAAGCUCUUCCACAUAUUUGAGUUUCUUGCAGUUCUUGAGGCAGAGAGUGUUCAGUGAGGACAGGUGUCUAAUGCUUGUUGGUAUUCUCUCGAAAUCAUGGUUGCUAAGGUCUAAAUAUGCUAAACUGGUGUUAUAGCAUAAUAGCUGAUCUUGCAGUGACUGAAGAUUCUUGCAGUUGUCAAUGCAAAGCUCUAUCAAACCCCUCGGUUGGUUGUCUAGACCAGGAAGAGUGAGGGUGGGAGUAAGUAGUGGCAAUGCUUUGAGCUGACGGCAGUUUCGAAGAGUAAGACAUUCCAGCUUGGUCAGUUGUGCCAUGGUUUUGGGUAGAUGAACGAAAUCAUUACCGGUGAGGUCCAUUUUCCUUAAGGACAACAAACAAUCAAUGUCUUGUGGGAUUUCUCGGAUGCUUAAGUUGAUGAGCUUUAGCUCAGUCAAACAAGGAAAGCUUGAAAAGCUCUGACAACUGAAAGGAGCUUCUCUCGCCCCGUAGUUGAACCUCUCAAUGACGAGUGUUUUGAUAAGGUGCAAGGGUUGAAUUGAACCUGUUUUCUGUGCCAUCGUAAUUUUCAAUUGAUCAGGGAUCUGUUGCUCGCAAGUAAAAGACAAGUGCUCUGCACUUCCUAUGAGAGUGUGCAAUAACUUAACAGAUAUUUCGCCUUGGAUGGAUAAUUCUGUAAGAGAACUAAGCGCUGUUACUGUAUCAAGAAGCAACAAAUUAAUAUGUCGAUAGGGGCUGGGUCGGCUGGCCUUGGGUUGAUUAUGGUCGUCAGUAACCAGCAAGAGACCCAUAAGGCUAUCACACUUGACCAUAUUGAGUUUCCUCAAAGGUAAUCUGUUUAAGGACCAUGGGGUUUGCCUAAGGCUCCUGCAGCCUUCCAUUAUCAACUCCUCAAGAUUCAUGGAAUCUGAAAGAUCUGGAAGUUCUACUAGACUCGUAGAGCCUGUCACAUCUAGUCUUCGUAGGUUCGGAAGCUGCUUAAAACAAGACAACAGAAAAGUAUGGAACACAUUUUAGUCAAUGCAAAUAGAUUCAAUGUAUAUGAAAAGGGAAUUAAAUAUGAAUUUUGAAAAGUAGCGUACCUUGGAUCUAUAGACCUUGGUUUCAUCCCAAAAGUGUUUUAGGUUGCUGUAUCGCAGAUUGAUUUCGACUAGGGUGCUUGAUUGGAAACUAAAAGGCAAGGUUUCCAGAGGGUAGGCGUCCCAAUGGAGUAACUUAAGUCCAUGAGUGAUACUAGAAACAUCCGAAAUGAGCUGCAGCUUGGACGUUAUAUCAACCACAUGCUUUAAAAACUUGAGAAAUGUGAGAUCACGCAUUGGCCUGCACUGCUCCCUAUACGUAAAGUGUCAGACAGAUCACACAUUUCUAGUGACACCCCAUGUAUUUUGGAUGUACCCUGUUGAACAAAAGCAUGUAUACUCACUUUAAAGGAUUAGAAACAAAAACAAAUUGAAGAAUUUAUUUGUAAGAACUUACUAUGUUCC
This 2202-nucleotide long non-coding RNA is filed under the name Arabidopsis thaliana (thale cress). RNAcentral's name for it is "potential natural antisense gene, locus overlaps with AT4G09430 (AT4G09432)". Lineage: Eukaryota; Viridiplantae; Streptophyta; Magnoliopsida; Brassicales; Brassicaceae. The record is from RNAcentral.